This 377-nucleotide unclassified non-coding RNA is filed under the name uncultured Oligoflexales bacterium. RNAcentral's name for it is "contains 16S-23S intergenic spacer region". Lineage: Bacteria; Pseudomonadati; Bdellovibrionota; Oligoflexia; Oligoflexales. The record is from RNAcentral.
UCCGGCUUAACGCCGGCGGUCUCCCUAGAGUGCCCAACUAAAUGGUGGCAACUAAGGAUAAGGGUUGCGCUCGUUAAGGGACUUAACCCGACAUCUCACGAUACGAGCUGACGACAGCCAUGCAGCACCUGUCCUGGAGUCCCCGAAGGGAAAGUCCUACUUCUAGGAUUGUCUCCAAAUGUCAAAUCUAGGUAAGGUUCUUCGCGUUGCAUCGAAUUAAACCACAUGCUCCACCGCUUGUGCGGGCCCCCGUCAAUUCCUUUGAGUUUUAACCUUGCGGCCGUACUUCCCAGGCGGGGUACUUAAUGCGUUGGCGUCGACACUGCAGGGGUCAAUUCCUGCAACAUCUAGUACCCAUCGUUUACAGCGUGGACUAC